GAUGAACGCUGGCGGCGUGCCUAAUACAUGCAAGUCGAGCGAACAGACGAGGAGCUUGCUUCUCUGACGUUAGCGGCGGACGGGUGAGUAACACGUGGAUAACCUACCUAUAAGACUGGGAUAACUUCGGGAAACCGGAGCUCAUACCGGAUAAUAUAUUGAACCGCAUGGUUCAAUAGUGAAAGACGGUUUUGCUGUCACUUAUAGAUGGAUCCGCGCCGGAUUAGCUAGUUGGUAAGGUAACGGCUUACCAAGGCAACGAUGCGUAGCCGACCUGAGAGGGUGAUCAGCCACACUGGAACUGAGACACGGUCCAGACUCCUACGGGAGGCAGCAGUAGGGAAUCUUCGGCAAUGGGCGAAAGCUUGACGGAGCAACGCCGCGUGAGUGAUGAAGGUCUUCGGAUCGUAAAACGCUGUUAUUAGGGAAGAACAAAUGUGUAAGUAACUAUGCACGUCAUGACGGUACCUAAUCAGAAAGCCACGGCUAACUACGUG
This 497-nucleotide ribosomal RNA is filed under the name uncultured bacterium. RNAcentral describes it as "partial 16S ribosomal RNA". It matches the Rfam family "Bacterial small subunit ribosomal RNA", at positions 28 to 507 of the family's 1533-position model. The record is from RNAcentral.